UACGUAGGUGGCAAGCGUUAUCCGGAAUUAUUGGGCGUAAAGAGCGCGCAGGUGGUUGAUUAAGUCUGAUGUGAAAGCCCCCGGCUCAACCGGGGAUGGUCAUUGGAAACUGGUACACUUGAGUGCAGAAGAGGAGAGUGGAAUUCCAUGUGUAGCGGUGAAAUGCGCAGAGAUAUGGAGGAACACCAGUGGCGAAGGCGGCUCUCUGGUCUGCAACUGACGCUGAUGUGCGAAAGCGUGGGGAUCAAACAGGA
RNAcentral lists this ribosomal RNA (254 nucleotides) under uncultured prokaryote. Its description in RNAcentral is "partial 16S ribosomal RNA". It matches the Rfam family "Bacterial small subunit ribosomal RNA", at positions 524 to 777 of the family's 1533-position model. The record is from RNAcentral.